This 1999-nucleotide long non-coding RNA is filed under the name Panax ginseng (ginseng). Its description in RNAcentral is "long non-coding RNA (PGIN_LNC010724)". Lineage: Eukaryota; Viridiplantae; Streptophyta; Magnoliopsida; Apiales; Araliaceae. The record is from RNAcentral.
UAGGGGAUAAGUUUAACCCUUCAACAUCUUGUUGCUCAUGAUUGUCAUUACCAUUCGCAUGAUGCUCCUCUUGCAAGUUUCGCUUCGAACUAUGCCAACCAAUGUUGUUCUUCUCUCGUUGAGUAACGUAAUGAAUGAUUCGAUUCUGGGAUCUCCACCCUCCCCAACCCUACCUUAGACCGGAAAGAGAUACGUUUGCUCUUCUGCGGGGGCUGCUCCGACCUUCCGGAAAGAGGAUUUCUUUUUUCUGGAUCCUGAACCUGUGACCUAGCAACAAUGAGUGUGGUGCUUGGGUUGCCUCUUGGAAUGGGUGACCAGCAAAGAGGAAUGUUAUCCAAUCCUCCUACCGAACCACCCCAGUUACACCGAGCAGUCUACACUGAAUUUCUUCUCUUAUGAUUUAGCUUAAAAUACCCGAUUAAUGCUGAAUUGGGCCUAAGACUAAACCAAACGUUUGCGCCCUACGAUUGCUACUGUGAUGCUUACUAUUGCAUAAGAGAGAGCUCUUUCUUUAGUAUUUAGUAUGAGAUAUCCUCCCCAGUCUAUUGUCUGUGCUUCCUUCAUUCGCUUGGGACGGGACUCGCUAGCGACCGCUCUAUCGAGUUUGAACCGCUGGAACCAAAGAAAGGAUUGUGGCAAGCAACAGAAAAAAAAGUGAGUGUUAGGGUGCAGCGUGCUUUUGAAUCAUACUAAGAGAGGGGAUGUCUUGAAUGAAUGGGAUACAUAAUAGUAGAUGACUAGUUCCGAUCACCUGGAAGGUGGGAUCGUUCUCUCGUUUCCCUCACCCCAACAGGUGAGCAGGAUUGCUAUUCAAGUACCUAACAUGUUGUCGUUUCGAAUGGGUGGGACAUAGAGACAGAGGUGGAAGUGAGGUACGAACAACAUUCGUAUCUCCGGUUGGACCAAUGCUCUACCAGCUGAGCCACACGGUGUCAGGGGAGGUUAAUAAUAACAAAAGGAAAACGGAAAGCCGGACAAAUGGCUUGUCCUCAGCACCAAAAAAGAAAAGAAAAGAAAACAGAAAAAUUACCCUGCUUCUACUGCCGAGUCUACUCCUGUCCUUCGAAUGAGUUGAAAGGCCCUUGCCUGAACAGGUGGUCUCUGAUAAUAAGGGAAUUGCUCCUGCGCCUGCCGUGGCUACUAAAUCUGCAGCUGUGUCCGCUACUAAGGGCUCUGGGUUUCCAACUGAAAUGGGAUCCGUAUAUGGAACGUCUACAGAGACUGGAAGGGAUGCCGUGUGCUAUGGAACAGGAUCCGCGCCUGUCCAGGUCGAGAUCAAAAAUCACCUAUAGGGGGCCCAUUCCUGCUUGUUGAUCCCCUUUUUCCCUUAUCCUACUCGCUGGUCUCACUAUAUUAUCAGUUCUAAUUGCAACAUUCCUCCCCCCUCAAAUGGCACUGGAUUUGACAGUAAGACCGAACGGAUUACUACCGUCUAUUCGCUCGUUCUAGACUGAAGAACUGGUAGCACCUAGAUUGACCCGAUAUAGACCGUGUUCCGCGUCAGACCUCAACUCCUGGGUGGAAAUCCCCAUUAUGAGAUCCAGGUAUUGCACCCCGGUUUGAUUGACUCUGCUAGGCUUGCUACGGCUUGACCGACCCUUUAGGGUAAAAGAAUGAAGAGUAGCUAAAUGAAAGAAGUGAAGCAAUGCGCAGCGAAGGGGAUCCCCAUACGUGACAGGGGAGGCCCGAGCGGGCUAGCAUAGUUUGAAAUAGUCUGACCCGCGAGUCAAAGACCCCUUUUCAUUGCCUUCCUUCUUCUUCGAUAGCAUCUAGAGCAGCGAAAAAGGCGAAAACAGUAAGAGCUCCUUCUUGAACAAUCGAUUCUGUAACAACCUCAAAGGCGGCGAAUCCUAUAUAAAGAAACCUCAAACUCCCUUUCUGGCACAUCACCUUUAAGAGGAACUGAAGAGGAGAAAGGUUGAUCAAAUCCACUGCUGUUCUCACUGCUUCACCCCAAAAGGAUUUAGGCAGUUUAACAUGAGAGAGUAUACACCGAAUU